UAGCCGUAAACGAUACUCGCUAGGUGUCGGCCACGGUGCGACCGUUGUCGGUGCCGUAGGGAAGCCGUGAAGCGAGCCACCUGGGAAGUACGGCCGCAAGGCUGAAACUUAAGGAAUUGGCGGGGGAGCGCAACAACGGGUGGAGCUUGCGGUUUAAUUGGAUUCAACGCCGGAAAUCUUACCGGGACCGACAGCAACAUGAAGGCCAAGCUGAAGACUUUGCCGGAUUAGCUGAGAGGAGGUGCAUGGCGUAGUCGUGU
This 260-nucleotide ribosomal RNA is filed under the name uncultured archaeon. Its description in RNAcentral is "partial 16S ribosomal RNA". It matches the Rfam family "Archaeal small subunit ribosomal RNA", at positions 748 to 1009 of the family's 1478-position model. The record is from RNAcentral.